RNAcentral lists this ribosomal RNA (769 nucleotides) under uncultured bacterium. Its description in RNAcentral is "bacterial SSU rRNA". It matches the Rfam family "Bacterial small subunit ribosomal RNA", at positions 28 to 808 of the family's 1533-position model. The record is from RNAcentral.
GACGACCUCUGGCGGCGCGCCUAACACAUGCAAGUCGAACGGAAUCAAGAGGAGCUUGCUUUUCUUGAUUUAGUGGCGAACGGGUGAGUAACGCGUGAGUAACCUGCCCUGGAGUGGGGGACAACAGUUGGAAACGACUGCUAAUACCGCAUAAGCCCACGGUGCCGCAUGGCACUGCGGGAAAAGGAUUUAUUCGCUUCAGGAUGGACUCGCGUCCAAUUAGCUAGUUGGUGAGGUAACGGCCCACCAAGGCGACGAUUGGUAGCCGGACUGAGAGGUUGAACGGCCACAUUGGGACUGAGACACGGCCCAGACUCCUACGGGAGGCAGCAGUGGGGGAUAUUGCACAAUGGGGGAAACCCUGAUGCAGCGACGCCGCGUGGAGGAAGAAGGUUUUCGGAUUGUAAACUCCUGUCGUUAGGGACGAUAAUGAUGGUACCUAACAAGAAAGCACCGGCUAACUACGUGCCAGCAGCCGCGGUAAAACGUAGGGUGCAAGCGUUGUCCGGAAUUACUGGGUGUAAAGGGAGCGCAGGCGGACCGGCAAGUUGGAAGUGAAAUCCAUGGGCUCAACCCGUGAAUUGCUUUCAAAACUGCUGGCCUUGAGUAGUGCAGAGGUAGGUGGAAUUCCCGGUGUAGCGGUGGAAUGCGUAGAUAUCGGGAGGAACACCAGUGGCGAAGGCGACCUACUGGGCACCAACUGACGCUGAGGCUCGAAAGCAUGGGUAGCAAACAGGAUUAGAUACCCUGGUAGUCCAUGCCGUAAACG